Pelobates cultripes (western spadefoot toad) is the source of this 636-nucleotide non-coding RNA. The record is from the annotation of a GenBank genome assembly. Lineage: Eukaryota; Metazoa; Chordata; Amphibia; Anura; Pelobatidae.
AGUAGCUGCUGCAUUUCCCACCCUAUGCUUAUACUCGAGUCAAUACGUUUUCCCAGUUUUUUUGUGGUAAAAUUAUGGGCCUCAGCUUAUAUUUGGGUCGGCUUAUAGUCGAGUAUAUAUGGUAAGUUGGUUCGAUACUGUGAAAGUAUGAACUUCUGCAUUACUAGACCAGUUCGAACUGGAAGCAACAUGGGAUGAAUUUGAUUUGAACCAAUUUUUGUACUGAAAAACCAGGCUGCGACCAGUCCACGGUGGCGACUAUUAUGCUGUGAAAUACAGGAUUUAAAAUUCUUCUUCUCCAGAACUGCUAAUAUUAUAGAGGUACAACUUGUAUGUGGUGACUCCAAUUCAGAUUUGUAUAAGAGAAGAUGAUUGGUCGACUUAUUAGAUUUUAAAUAUCAACACUUGAACCUUUUAUCAAAAUGGUCCUCUACCACAGUUGUUAAUAUGAAGCCACAUUAAAAAGUCACUAUAGUCACCAUCCACCAAUGACCUCACAGUGUCCUAGGAAGGCAUACAAUUGUAUUUAUUUUACGAUUAUACUUGCUACAACUUAUUCAAACUAUUUGUACAUGUGAUGAUGCUCCUGUGGUUGCCAACCUAUGUCACAUGGUCUGGCAGCCAUUUUGUUUUUUU